CCUACGGGCGGCAGCAGUGGGGAAUAUUGGGCAAUGGGCGCAAGCCUGACCCAGCAACGCCGCGUGAAGGAAGAAGGCUUUCGGGUUGUAAACUUCUUUUGUCAGGGACGAAGCAAGUGACGGUACCUGACGAAUAAGCCACGGCUAACUACGUGACAGGCGCCGCGGUAAGUCGUAGGUAGCCAGCGUUAUCCGGAUUUACUGGGUGUAAAGGGCGUGUAGGCGGGACUGCAAGUCAGAUGUGAAAACCACGGGCUCAAACUGUGGCCUGCAUUUGAAACUGUAGUUCUUGAGUACUGGAGAGGCAGACGGAAGUCCUAGUGUAGCGGUGAAAUGCGUAGAUAUUAGGAGGAACACCAGUGGCGAAGGCGGUCUGCUGGACAGCAACUGACGCUGAGGCGCGAAAGCGUGGGGAGCAAACAGGAGUAGAUACCCCAGUAGUC
Molecule: ribosomal RNA, 443 nt
Filed under: uncultured bacterium
Lineage: Bacteria
Description: partial 16S ribosomal RNA
Rfam family: Bacterial small subunit ribosomal RNA
Source: RNAcentral